Molecule: ribosomal RNA, 486 nt
Filed under: uncultured bacterium
Lineage: Bacteria
Description: partial 16S ribosomal RNA
Rfam family: Bacterial small subunit ribosomal RNA
Source: RNAcentral
AUUGAACGCUGGCGGCAUGCCUUACACAUGCAAGUCGAACGGCAGCACGGGUGCUUGCCCCUGGUGGCGAGUGGCGAACGGGUGAGUAAUACAUCGGAACAUGUCCUGUAGUGGGGGAUAGCCCGGCGAAAGCCGGAUUAAUACCGCAUACGAUCCACGGAUGAAAGCGGGGGACCUUCGGGCCUCGCCCUAUAGGGUUGGCCGAUGGCUGAUUAGCUAGUUGGUGGGGUAAAGUCCUACCAAGGCGACGAUCAGUAGCUGGUCUGAGAGGACGACCAGCCACACGGGGACUGAGACACGGCCCAGACUCCUACGGGAGGCAGCAGUGGGGAAUUUUGGACAAUGGGCGAAAGCCUGAUCCAGCAAUGCCGCGUGUGUGAAGAAGGCCUUCGGGUUGUAAAGCACUUUUGUCCGGAAAGAAAUCCUUGGCUCUAAUACAGUCGGGGGAUGACGGUACCGGAAGAAUAAGCACCGGCUAACUACGUG